GAUGAACGCUGGCGGCGUGCCUAAUACAUGCAAGUCGAGCGAAGAGCCGAGGCGCGCGCUCGUCUGACGUUACCGGCGGAUGGGUGAGUAGCACGUGGAUAACCUACCUCUCAGACAGGGAUAACUUCGGGAAACCGGAGCUAAUGCCGGUUAAUACAGUCAACUGCAUGGUUCAAUAGUGAAAGUCGGUUUUGCUGUCUCUUAUCACGGCAUCCGCGCUUCAUUAGCUAGUUGGUAAGGUAACGGCUUACCAAGGCAACGAUGCGUAGCCGACCUGAGAGGGUGAUAGGCCACACUGGAACUGAGAAACGGUCCAGACUCCUACGGGAGGCAGCAGUAGGGAAUCUUCCGCGAUGGGCGAAAGCCUGACGGAGCAACGCCGCGUGAGUGAUGAAGGUCUUCGGAUCGUAAAACUCUGUUAUUAGGGAAGAACAAAUGUGUAAGUAACUAUGCACGUCUUGACGGUACCUAAUCAGAAAGCCACGGCUAACUACGUG
This 497-nucleotide ribosomal RNA is filed under the name uncultured bacterium. RNAcentral's name for it is "partial 16S ribosomal RNA". It matches the Rfam family "Bacterial small subunit ribosomal RNA", at positions 28 to 507 of the family's 1533-position model. The record is from RNAcentral.